CCCUUAGAUGUUCUGGGCCGCACGCGCGCUACACUGAUGCAUUCAACGAGUUUCUUCCUGGUCCGAGAGGAAUGGGUAACCUUUUGAAAGUGCAUCGUGAUAGGGAUAGACUAUUGCAAUUAUUGGUCUUCAACGAGGAAUUCCUAGUAGACGUAGUUCAUCAGACUGCAUCGAUUACGUCCCUGCCCUUUGUACACACCGCCCGUCGCUCCUACCGAUUGAAUGCUCAGGUGAGCCAUUCGGACUUUCAUCAUGCUGGUUUCCAGUUUUGAUGAAGGAAAGUCUUGCGAACCUUAUCAUUUGGAGGAAGGAGAAGUCGUAACA
Molecule: ribosomal RNA, 324 nt
Filed under: uncultured eukaryote
Lineage: Eukaryota
Description: partial 18S ribosomal RNA
Rfam family: Eukaryotic small subunit ribosomal RNA
Source: RNAcentral